Molecule: ribosomal RNA, 433 nt
Filed under: uncultured bacterium
Lineage: Bacteria
Description: partial 16S ribosomal RNA
Rfam family: Bacterial small subunit ribosomal RNA
Source: RNAcentral
AACGAACGCUGGCGGCAUGCCUAACACAUGCAAGUCGAACGAGACCUUCGGGUCUAGUGGCGCACGGGUGCGUAACGCGUGGGAACCUGCCCUUAGGUUCGGAAUAACUCCCCGAAAGGGGUGCUAAUACCGGAUAAUGUCUUCGGACCAAAGAUUUAUCGCCUUUGGAUGGGCCCGCGUUGGAUUAGCUAGUUGGUAGGGUAAAAGCCUACCAGGGCGACGAUCCAUAGCUGGUCUGAGAGGAUGAUCAGCCACACUGGGACUGAGACACGGCCCAGACUCCUACGGGAGGCAGCAGUGGGGAAUAUUGGACAAUGGGCGAAAGCCUGAUCCAGCAAUGCCGCGUGAAUGAUGAAGGCCUUAGGGUUGUAAAGCUCUUUUACCCGGGAUGAUAAUGACAGUACCGGGAGAAUAAGCUCCGGCUAACUCCGUG